GGCAAAGGAUGUGCGUCCGCCCAGACAACCAGGAUGUUGGCUUAGAAGCAGCCAUCCAUUCAAAGAGUGCGUAACAGCUCACUGGUCGAGUGGACAUGCGCCGACAAUACACGGGGCUAAGCUGGACACCGAAGCGGCGGGAUUUUAAUUCAUUAGAAUCGGUAGGGGAGCUUCCCAUGGGCGGAGAAGCCGGAGGGCGACCGACGGUGGAGCGCAUGGGAGUGAGAAUGCUGGCAUGAGUAGCGAGAGACGAGAGAGUAACUCGUCCGCCGUGAACCCGAGGUUUCCUGGGCAAGGCUAAUCCUCCCAGGGUCAGUCGGGGGCUAAGGCGAGGCCGGUAGGCGUAGCCGACGCGCAGCAGGCAGACAUUCCUGCACCGCGCACGCGGCGCUACGACCGACGGGGCGACGGAUGGGGGUGGCUCGGCGGGGUUCUGGACGUCCCCGUGAUGGAGCGCGGCCCGCGGACCAGGGAAAUCCGGUCCGCAUUGAGGGCGAGGCUCCGGACGAAGCACUUAAGCGAAGCGAGUGAGCCCGAGGUCCCUAGAAAAACCCCUAGGCAGGCGCGUGCGCGCCCGUACCGCAAACCGACACAGGUGGGUGGGUAGAACAUACCGAGGCGAUCGGGUCAACCAUGGUCAAGGAACUCGGCACAAUGGCCCCGUAACUUCGGGAGAAGGGGUGCCCGCGCGUACGUGAACGGACUUGCUCCGGGAGCGGAGGCGGGCCGCAGUGGAGAGGCCCAAGCGACUGUUUACCAAAAACACAGGACUCUGCAGAAGCCGCAAGGCGACGUAUAGGGUCUGACGCCUGCCCGGUGCCGGAAGGUCACGCGGAGGAGUUAGCCAUUUCGGCGAAGCCCCGAAGCCAAGCCCCGGUAAACGGCGGCCGUAACUAUAACGGUCCUAAGGUAGCGAAAUUCCUUGUCGGGUAAGUUCCGACCUGCACGAAAGGCGCAACGACUUGGGCGCUGUCUCGACCAUGGACCCGGUGAAAUUGCACUGGUCGUGAAGAUGCGACUUACCCGCGGAAGGACGGAAAGACCCCGUGAACCUUCACUGCAGCUUGGCAUUGGCCGCUGGUCCCGCGUGUAGAGGAUAGGCAGGAGGCUAAGAUCCGGAGGCGCCAGCCCCCGGGGAGCCGCCCUUGGAAUACUGCCCUCGCGCGACCGGCGUCCUAACCCGAGGCCGUCAACCGGCUCGGGGACCGUGCCAGGCGGGCAGUUUGACUGGGGCGGUCGCCUCCUAAAGGGUAACGGAGGCGCGCGAAGGUCCGCUCGGGACGGUCGGCAACCGUCCUUUUGAAUGCAAGAGUACAAGCGGGCUUGACUGCGAGGCCCACAAGCCGAGCAGGUGCGAAAGCAGGCUCUAGUGAUCCGGCGGCCCCGAGUGGGUGGGCCGUCGCUCAACGGAUAAAAGGUACUCCGGGGAUAACAGGCUGAUCUUGCCCAAGAGUCCACAUCGACGGCAAGGUUUGGCACCUCGAUGUCGGCUCAUCGCAUCCUGGGGCUGUAGCAGGUCCCAAGGGUUGGGCUGUUCGCCCAUUAAAGCGGUACGCGAGCUGGGUUCAGAACGUCGUGAGACAGUUCGGUCCCUAUCCUCCGUGGGCGCAGGAGAAUCGAUGGAGGCUGCCCCCAGUACGAGAGGACCGGGGUGGACGCACCUCCGGUGAACCGGUUGUCGACCAACGGCACGGCCGGGUAGCCGCGUGCGGCGCGGAUAACCGCUGAAGGCAUCUAAGCGGGAAGCCGUUCCAGGGAUUAGUUCUCCUUCCGGUAAGGGCCCAGGUAGACUACCUGGUCGAUAGACGGCAGGUGCAAGGACGGCGACGUCCUCAGCCGAGCCGCACUAAUCGCCCGAGCUCUUCCGGAA
This 1870-nucleotide ribosomal RNA is filed under the name human gut metagenome. RNAcentral's name for it is "bacterial LSU rRNA". It matches the Rfam family "Bacterial large subunit ribosomal RNA", at positions 1065 to 2925 of the family's 2925-position model. The record is from RNAcentral.